Molecule: ribosomal RNA, 492 nt
Filed under: uncultured bacterium
Lineage: Bacteria
Description: partial 16S ribosomal RNA
Rfam family: Bacterial small subunit ribosomal RNA
Source: RNAcentral
AGCGAACGCUGGCGGUAGGCCUAAUACAUGCAAGUCGAGCGGCAGCACAGUAUAAUCUUGCUAACACGAUUGGCGAGUAGCGGACGGGUGACGAAUACGUCAUCUUCUACUUAUCGGUGGGGGAUAACUUGGGGCAACUGACACUACUACAUAAAACCUUUAAAGGGUGAAAGUAGGUGUUCUUCGUACCAUUCCCGCACUAAUAGACCGAUGUCGGAUUAACUAGUUGGCGGGGUAAGGGCCCACCAAGGCGACGAUCCGUAGCUAGUCUGAGAGGAUGAUCAGCCACACUGGAACUGAGACACGGUCCAGACUCCUACGGGAGGCAGCAGUGGGGAAUAUUGGACAAUGGGCGCAAGCCUGAUCCAGCCAUACCGCGUGGGUGAAGAAGGCCUUCGGGUUGUAAAGCCCUUUUGUUGGGAAAGAAAAGCAGCAGGUUAAUACCCCGCUGUUCUGACGGUACCCAAAGAAUAAGCACCGGCUAACUUCGUG